RNAcentral lists this ribosomal RNA (465 nucleotides) under uncultured bacterium. Its description in RNAcentral is "bacterial SSU rRNA". It matches the Rfam family "Bacterial small subunit ribosomal RNA", at positions 338 to 795 of the family's 1533-position model. The record is from RNAcentral.
CCUACGGGAUGCAGCAGUGGGGAAUAUUGCACAAUGGGCGCAAGCCUGAUGCAGCCAUGCCGCGUGUAUGAAGAAGGCCUUCGGGUUGUAAAGUACUUUCAGCGGGGAGAAAGGUGUUGUGGUUAAUAACCGCAGCAAUUGAUGUUACCCGCAGAAGAAGCACCGGCUAACUCCGUGCCAGCAGCCGCGGUAAUACGGAGGGUGCAAGCGUUAAUCGGAAUUACUGGGCGUAAAGCGCACGCAGGCGGUCUGUCAAGUCGGAUGUGAAAUCCCCGGGCUCAACCUGGGAACUGCAUUCGAAACUGGCAGGCUAGAGUCUUGUAGAGGGGGGUAGAAUUCCAGGUGUAGCGGUGAAAUGCGUAGAGAUCUGGAGGAAUACCGGUGGCGAAGGCGGCCCCCUGGACAAAGACUGACGCUCAGGUGCGAAAGCGUGGGGAGCAAACAGGAUUAGAUACCCUCGUAGUC